GACGAACGCUGGCGGCGUGCCUAAUACAUGCAAGUCGAGCGGACAGAAGGGAGCUUGCUCCCGGAUGUUAGCGGCGGACGGGUGAGUAACACGUGGGCAACCUGCCUGUAAGACUGGGAUAACUCCGGGAAACCGGAGCUAAUACCGGAUAGUUCCUUGAACCGCAUGGUUCAAGGAUGAAAGACGGUUUCGGCUGUCACUUACAGAUGGACCCGCGGCGCAUUAGCUAGUUGAUGGGGUAAUGGCUCACCAAGGCGACGCUGCGUAGCCGACCUGAGAGGGUGGUCGGCAACAAUGGGACUGAGACACGGCCCAGACUCCUACGGGAGGCAGCAGUAGGGAAUCUUCCGCAAUGGACGAAAGUCUGACGGAGCAACGCCGCGUGAGUGAUGAAGGUUUUCGGAUCGUAAAGCGCUGUUGUUAGGGAAGAACAAGUGCGAGAGUAACUGCUCGCACCUUGACGGUACCUAACCAGAAAGCCACGGCUAACUACGUGCCAGCCGCCGCAGUAA
RNAcentral lists this ribosomal RNA (512 nucleotides) under uncultured bacterium. RNAcentral's name for it is "partial 16S ribosomal RNA". It matches the Rfam family "Bacterial small subunit ribosomal RNA", at positions 28 to 523 of the family's 1533-position model. The record is from RNAcentral.